RNAcentral lists this ribosomal RNA (340 nucleotides) under uncultured Sphingomonas sp. Its description in RNAcentral is "bacterial SSU rRNA". It matches the Rfam family "Bacterial small subunit ribosomal RNA", at positions 152 to 526 of the family's 1533-position model. The record is from RNAcentral. Lineage: Bacteria; Pseudomonadati; Pseudomonadota; Alphaproteobacteria; Sphingomonadales; Sphingomonadaceae.
AGAAAUUGCUGCUAAUACCGGAUGAUAUCGCGAGAUCAAAGAUUUAUCGCCUGAGGAUGAGCCCGCGUAGGAUUAGCUAGUUGGUGUGGUAAAGGCGCACCAAGGCGACGAUCCUUAUCUGGUCUGAGAGGAUGAUCAGCCACACUGGGACUGAGACACGGCCCAGACUCCUACGGGAGGCAGCAGUGGGGAAUAUUGGACAAUGGGCGAAAGCCUGAUCCAGCAAUGCCGCGUGAGUGAUGAAGGCCUUANGGUUGUAAAGCUCUUUUACCCGGGAUGAUAAUGACAGUACCGGGAGAAUAAGCUCCGGCUAACUCCGUGCCAGCAGCCGCGGUAAUAC